Molecule: transfer RNA, 68 nt
Filed under: Marmota monax (woodchuck)
Lineage: Eukaryota; Metazoa; Chordata; Mammalia; Rodentia; Sciuridae
Description: tRNA.Ala
Rfam family: tRNA (bases 6-63)
About the family: Transfer RNA (tRNA) molecules are approximately 80 nucleotides in length.
Source: RNAcentral
GGAUAUAGCUCAGUUGGCAGAGUGCGUGCCUUGCAUGCACAAGGCCCUGGGUUUGAUCCCCAGCACCA